RNAcentral lists this unclassified non-coding RNA (218 nucleotides) under uncultured fungus. RNAcentral describes it as "sequence contains ITS1, 5.8S rRNA gene". The stretch from base 170 to 218 matches the Rfam family "5.8S ribosomal RNA", at positions 1 to 49 of the family's 154-position model. The record is from RNAcentral. Lineage: Eukaryota; Fungi.
UUUCCGUAGGUGAACCUGCGGAAGGAUCAUUACCUAGAGUUGUAGGCUUUGCCUGCUAUCUCUUACCCAUGUCUUUUGAGUACCUUCGUUUCCUCGGUGGGUUCGCCCGCCGGUGGACAACCAAAACUCUUUGUAAUAGCAGUAUCUUCUGAAAAAAACAAAUAGUCAAAACUUUCAACAACGGAUCUCUUGGUUCUGGCAUCGAUGAAGAACGCAGC